This is a long non-coding RNA of Vulpes vulpes (red fox), 1563 nucleotides long. NCBI's taxonomy places the organism in Eukaryota, Metazoa, Chordata, Mammalia, Carnivora, Canidae. The record is from Ensembl.
GGAAAAGGCUGCCUUUAUUAUUUGGACUUCUAAUUCAGCUCAAGUUCCUAAUUCAUUCCAGAUAAACCAUCACUUCUGGAAGAGAUUCGUAUCCAGAAACAGGUGUUUACUGACAGGCUGAAUAAGAUAUCUGAAGAGCUGAAGGAGAGGGCCUGCAACAAGACCUGUGACCUAGACUCCACACUAGAAGUCAUCAACUGUGCCAACUGCAAGAUACAUUCCCUUGUCUGCAAAGACCCCACUCUCUGCCCAGAUGGUACAUUUUCUGGCGUGAGAAGAGAAAGGAAGCAGAAAAGGUGCUGGGAAAGGAGACCCCUGCCAGAAUGUAGGUCUCCCGAGGAGGGAAAGCUGCAAGUAGCAAGGAACUCAGCAGUUCAGUGUUCUGAACAGAGAUCACCCAGUCGCUGCCAGGAAGCUAUCUCAUCUCUGAGUUCCAGUAACUGUCCUUUCCCUGACCCCCUCCAAUCUGGGGUGGUAGCAGUUAUGUGGCAAAGAGACCACACUCUGUCUUGUGGCUUCCCUAUACCCAGUCCUUGCAAAUACUUUUCAUUAAAACACCUUCCUCCCAUUCUGAUGGGCUGUAGCAUCUGCUUCCUGCCUGGAAAGACACAGCUGGCACCGAGAUCCUCCCGACACUGUCAUAAAGGGGCUCAUUCCCUCUUUUCACCCUCCCUCUGCUGGCCCACCACCCUUCCUGUCCUAAAGUGCCCCUCUCCUACUGCUCUGGCCCCAGCACUGGUAUCUCCACAGGCUCAGUCUGGCCUCAUCUACUUCCAGCACCAGAGAUGAAGACAGAGAUGGCUUGGGUCCCUAUGUCCAGGUAUUGAACAGAGACAGUGAGAGGCCAGCUCAUAGCUCAGGGACUGGCAGAGGAACAGACACCAGAAAACAGACUUCAAAUCACAUUAAUGGCAGACUUUUCUCCAUCCUGGCCAAGAUGUCCACCCUAGGAACACCCAGGUCCCCGGUGAAUCUGGUACUGCUAGCAAUGACACUUCCUUGACUCUGCCUCUGGUAGUGGAGUGGAGGAGGGGAGGGAGGGCAGGGGUUUGCCUCCUCCUCCUCCUCCAUCCCUAUGUCCUUUUCCUUGUCUGAACCCAAGGCUGCCAGAUUAAAUGGAACUUCUGAGUCCUCCAGGCACAGCUCUUCCCUUUCCCCUCAACCUUGUGCCCUUCCUCACUGGUACUCCCAGACUCUUGUCCUUGGAUCAGGCUCUGCUCUGAUGGGACCUAUCCAACAGCUUUGCAGCCACUGUCAGGACCAGAGCCCUGGUCAGCAGGUCAAACCCUGGGUGCUGAAAAGAAGCAAGUCUGGGACCAGAGCUAAGGACCAGUAUCCCAGAACCUGGACUCGAGUCCUGGUUCUGAUGCUAAGGUUGUAGGCUCCCCCUUGUGAAUCUGUUCCCCCAUCUGAGCAUGCAGGGAGGAUGUCAAACUUCAACCAGGUUGGUGUGCCCUGACCCUGCAGCCCCACUAGGUUCACAUUUGCCAUCUUACAUUUGCUCAUGCUAUAGGUCAAAAUGUAAUGUUCUCAUCCCUUUCCCUCACCUCCAGUCCCUUGAAA